Molecule: long non-coding RNA, 318 nt
Filed under: Jatropha curcas
Lineage: Eukaryota; Viridiplantae; Streptophyta; Magnoliopsida; Malpighiales; Euphorbiaceae
Description: long non-coding RNA (JCUR_LNC003023)
Source: RNAcentral
ACACAUCACAAACAGUCCCACAAAUGCACCCUAGAAUACUGAAUGUACACACAGCAAUCAAUCUUAUGGCAUCAUAUCAGCACCCACAAACAAUAUCACCUUCAAAUAAUCACAUCACGUGAAAAUUAGUCAGUGGAGUCACCAAAACCUGAUGAGCCGUCCUCCCACAUGGUCCAUCCACUCACAUGUGCACCAGGGAGCCAAUCCCUCAUUCUGGCUGGCCGGUAUAAUCCUCACACGACCGGUCCUCAUUAUUUUGCCAACCUCUCUUUUUUUUUUAUACCAACAGGAGGCAACCCGGUCGUCUCCAUCAAAUNN